CUAAGGGAUUCUGAUCGCCAAGCCCCCCGCACGUUGCGGCUGUCGACCGGUUCGUCUACAGCUUAGCCCGGAAAAGCAAAAGCGGACGAGAGAGUAGCAAAAGGGGCGCCUUCUUCCACGUGUGCGGAGAAAGCGGCAAUCGCCGCGUUUGUAACGGGCGCCAGAAAUGAAACUCAGCCUUCCCUGCCCCACUCAUUGGUCCGGGCCACAUUACCGGCUGCUUUCAAAUCUGACGACAGCUACUUCUUCAUUUGUUAAAUGAAACAGGAAGCUUUUCUCUGGGGGCUGCGCGCAGCUCUUUUCACUGGUCCCGUUUUCUCAGCAGAGUAAAGCAGAGUAAAGAUUGCUGUGUUUCCCCGCCGUUUAUUUUUUGGAAGCAAUACAAGCCAGUCCCGAGAACUUUUAUUCACGGGCAGAUUUCACGCGAGAACGAAUGUGCUUUGGGAAAGUGGAAGUUGCUGCUUUACGGAACCGUAGGCAUGAAAUAUAUUUUCUAAAUCGCAUGGAAUGAAACAAUCAGGUUUCAAGAAAGCGGAUGGAUCACAUGGAAAAAUCUUCUAAUUUUAAGUUUCCCUGUCAUGGGAUGUUUCUACCAUAUAAGCUUCCAAGGACAGUGCUUUAAUCUGUCCUCAGUACUACAAAAUAAUGAGCUGAUCCUGCAGAUAUCCUCUGUUCUUCUUAAUUGCAUCCUUCAUUUCAUGUAUUUAUCUAAAGAUUGUGCCAAAUUAUGUACGGAGUGUGGCUGAUUCUUUAAGCCAACCUUUGUUAACAGGACCUACAGGACCCUGGAGUUCCACUUCCACAUGAGAUCACAGAUUACCUUCCUCCUCCCAGAAAGAGGAGUCCCAGAGCCAUAUGGUGUGCCAUAUGGAAUCCAUAGUUCAUUUCUCCACCUGUCUUCUUGUGUAGAAAACGACAGAGCUGAAGAACCUUCAGGUUCCC
Long non-coding RNA from Ahaetulla prasina, 942 nucleotides. RefSeq lists it as uncharacterized. The record is from RefSeq and is a predicted model, not a curated record. Lineage: Eukaryota; Metazoa; Chordata; Lepidosauria; Squamata; Colubridae. The transcript is spliced from 3 exons.